This is a long non-coding RNA of Dermochelys coriacea (leatherback sea turtle), 1739 nucleotides long. RefSeq lists it as uncharacterized. The transcript is spliced from 6 exons. Lineage: Eukaryota; Metazoa; Chordata; Testudines; Dermochelyidae. The record is from RefSeq and is a predicted model, not a curated record.
AUCUCCAAGGGGGCCCAAUGGGAAGCGCUGGGGCUGUUUAAGAUUCAAACUGGCAGCCGACAAGGGGGGGGGACGGACCGUAGGAAACAGGGCAUGGAAUGGCGGCAGCUUAGCGCGCGCGCGCUCCACCCCCCCCCCCCUUCAAACGCUGCCCGGGAAAUGCUUUCGUACGUCUGCAUCUUCUCCGCUAAAUCUGAGCGCUGCUCCCGCCAGACCCUCACCAGAGGGAGCCUCCCGCUGUCCCGCACGCGCCCCGGAGCCCUCCCAUCGCUGUUAACUUCCCAGACUUCACCGCCACGCCCCAGCAGCCCGCUCCCUGCCGCCUGUCCUGCUUAUGCCCACCUCCUGCUCCUGGACCUCACGCGCCCUGCUGAAGUUCACUCCUUUUCGCCUGACUGAGAGCGAAGGACGUUGGGAGUAGCUCCUGCUGCUGGCCGCCGUGGGAGACUCUGGUAUAUGUGCCCCGCUUCCCUUUCCUAGGGCUGAGAGACCUUCAGACCAUAGCCCCCAGGGCCUGGGUUGCCUCUGACCGGGUGAAGUGGAGCAUGUGACGCUCAACUGGUUUACUCCUCGCUGGUGCUGGAAAGGACUGGCCUUUACUCUGCCCUAGGCCCAGAGUGAUGCAUAUGGACAGAAGGUGCACCAGGUGAUCCUGCACUUGCAGCUGGGAGCUGCCCUUGACCAACCAGUCAUCCAGAUGGGGAAGAUCUAGACCCCCCGGUGUCUGAGGAAAGAACUCCAGGAAGAUGAGAGAUCAGCAUCUUCAAAGACCCAUUGUCUUUCCUAAUGGCUCAUCCAGGCUGAUUGCAUACUGUCUGACCCAAGGUGGGACCACAGCCCUGCUCCCCUCCACACACGUCUAUGGAGUGGGACUAAAACAGCAGCAGGAAUAAAUUGAACCCAAUGAAGAGGUAUAACUACAGGUGUGCUGAAGAAUUCCUCCCGAAGCUCCCAUAGGCUUCAUAUGGAAUAAAAGCUACAGCACUCCCAAAGUUGGAUACAGAGAUCAGCCUUAAACAAAUGUGGUGGGGAAGAGAGUUUAUUGUUGCAGAGGAUCAGGAGUGAUAUUGCCUAGCCACCUGGACCCCAGACAACAGCCUGGACACUUUGGAACUUAGCAACUGGUGAUCCAAAGGCCCUCCCCAGCUUGGAAGCCAGCUGGUUUUGGCCAGUGGAAGAACAAAGGGCUGAAGAGAGCGAGCUCAGAUGAUCUGUUUGCCCAGGAAAGAAGACAAAGGAGGGACUUUUGAGAAGUGAUAUAGUGUGGUCAGCAGGAAGGAGGAUCGAUUCCAGACUGGGAACAAAGAGGGGUCUCAGCCCACUUAGACUGGGGACAGACCCAGCUGGACUAUGCUAUAACUUUCUAUUCUUGAGGCUAUCAUAGAAUCAUCAGGGGCAUACAGAGCCAAGAAAGAGCACUGGAUCAUAGGGUCACUACCGGCGCUAAAUAUAACAACAACAACAAAAGUUUGUGCAAUUCACUUUCAUGAAUUUUUAGUCCCCUGAAUAAGACAUUCUAUUAUACUUGAUGUCUAUGAACGUAGCUGUACGUUAAAUGGACAAAAUCUAGCAUGCACAGGCUCUUUGCUUUUACCUGUAGGAUGGUCAGCCCACUGGGGCAAUGGGCACAGAAUAAUCAAUGCAGGGAGAUUCAAGGCAGGGAAGGAAAAAGGAUGUAUUAACAGAAAGAGCUUAGACCUUAUAAUUACGAACUUUGCACAACCAAAUCAUACCUGCUC